UAACCUACGGGACGCAGCAGUGGGGAAUAUUGGACAAUGGGGGGAACCCUGAUCCAGCGACGCCGCGUGAGUGAAGAAGUAUUUCGGUAUGUAAAGCUCUAUCAGCAGGGAAGAAAAUGACGGUACCUGACUAAGAAGCCCCGGCUAACUACGUGCCAGCAGCCGCGGUAAUACGUAGGGGGCAAGCGUUAUCCGGAUUUACUGGGGGUAAAGGGAGCGCAGACGGCAGUGCAAGUCUGGAGUGAAAGCCCGGGGCUCAACCCCGGGACUGCUUUGGAAACUGCAUAG
This 288-nucleotide ribosomal RNA is filed under the name uncultured bacterium. RNAcentral's name for it is "partial 16S ribosomal RNA". It matches the Rfam family "Bacterial small subunit ribosomal RNA", at positions 335 to 640 of the family's 1533-position model. The record is from RNAcentral.